CUUUGGAAAACCUUCCGAGUGAAAUGCUCACCGAUAUCCGUGCGCUUGCGGAUCAUUUCCUUAUUGCGUUACCAAAUAUCAACAAUGUCAAGAGCUCAGUAAAGUAUCCAACAUCAUCAGAAGCAAUGGCAUGAGCUCAGCAAAAUAACCAUCAUCAGCACACCCUCAGGCAAAAAUAUUCAUCAACAUCAUCAUGGCAGCCUCUGGCUCAGUCAAUCAAAGAAUCACACAAUCAACUACCGCAGGCUAUAGAAUCAGGGAGGGAGGAUAGGGGGAAAAGAUACAAAAAAACCACGUCAACAAGCCUCAACAGUAGCAAAAGGCCAGUAGCUCAUGAGAGGGUGCUCAGAUCUGCAAGAACACAAACAAGACAAUGGAGAUUAUCACACACAUGCUUCGAUUUGUAGUCCAAAAAUAAGAAAAUAAAAUAGGAAGGUGAGGAAGAUGGAUUCAUACCAAAAUAAUAGCCAAGAACACGGAUAUGGUGUCCCUGCAUCGAGAUCAGACACAAAUGUUACCUAGGGUUCACAAACCAAAAGAAACAAAAGGAGAAAAAUGGGGGGAAAGCUCACCUGAAUCAAGAACAGUCAAAUCCAUGAGACCUUCAACAAAUAUAGAGAGAGAGGCAUCAUCACAACAUGAAUCAAGAAAAUGUACAGAGGAUUAGAGGGAGAAGAGAAAGAAAACCAACCGGCGGCGGAGACAUUGA
This 709-nucleotide long non-coding RNA is filed under the name Sorghum bicolor (sorghum). RNAcentral's name for it is "long non-coding RNA (SBIC_LNC014802)". Lineage: Eukaryota; Viridiplantae; Streptophyta; Magnoliopsida; Poales; Poaceae. The record is from RNAcentral.